This 253-nucleotide ribosomal RNA is filed under the name uncultured bacterium. Its description in RNAcentral is "partial 16S ribosomal RNA". It matches the Rfam family "Bacterial small subunit ribosomal RNA", at positions 524 to 776 of the family's 1533-position model. The record is from RNAcentral.
UACGUAGGGGGCAAGCGUUGUCCGGAUUUAUUGGGCGUAAAGAGCGUGUAGGCGGCCAGGUAGGUCUGCUGUGAAAACUCGAGGCUCAACCUCGAGACGCCGGCGGAAACCAUCAGGCUAGAGUCCGGAAGAGGAGAGUGGAAUUCCUGGUGUAGCGGUGAAAUGCGCAGAUAUCAGGAAGAACACCCGUGGCUAAGGCGGCUCUCUAGUACGGUACUGACGCUGAGACGCGAAAGCGUGGGGAGCGAACAGG